UGAGGAAUAUUGGACAAUGGGCGCAAGCCUGAUCCAGCAAUACCACGUGACUGAAGAAGGCCUUAGGGUUGUAAAAGUCUUUCAGCAGGGAAGAUAAUGACGGUACCUGCAGAAGAAGCUCCGGCUAACUCCGUGCCAGCAGCCGCGGUAAUACGGAGGGAGCUAGCGUUGUUCGGAAUUACUGGGCGUAAAGGGCACGCAGGCUGGUGUGAAAGUUGGAAGUGAAAUCCCGGGGCUUAACCUCGGAACUGCUUUCAAACUACAUACCUAGAGAUUGAGAGGGGAGAUUGGAAUUCCUAGUGUAGAGGUGAAAUUCGUAGAUAUUAGGAGGAACACCGGAGGCGAAGGCG
RNAcentral lists this ribosomal RNA (350 nucleotides) under uncultured bacterium. RNAcentral's name for it is "bacterial SSU rRNA". It matches the Rfam family "Bacterial small subunit ribosomal RNA", at positions 355 to 723 of the family's 1533-position model. The record is from RNAcentral.